AUGGCUUUUAAAGAUGCCAGAAAGACUUCCGUGGAGCCAGAGGUGGCGUGGCGAUUCACCUGAUUAGAAUCACCCUCACCAGCCGCAACGUGAAGGCUUUGGAGAAGGUAUGUGUUGACCUGAUCAGAGGUGCGAAGGAAAAGAAUCCCAAGGUGAAAGGACCGGUUCGGAUGCCUACCAAGACUCUGAGAAAUAAGUACAAGGAAAACUCCUGGUGGUGAAGGUUCUAAGACUUGGGAUCGUUUCCAGAUGAGGAUCCACAGGCGACUCACCGACCUGCACAGGCCUCCUGAGAUUGUCAAGCAGAUCACUUCCAUCAGUCUUGAGCCAGGAGUCGAGGUUGAAGUCACCAUUGCAGAUGCUCAAAUCAACAUUUUUAAUAAACUGAUAAUCAGUUGUUUAAAAAACAGUUCAGUACACAGGCCCUCAGUGGGGAGCACAGCAUUAAAAAGCCUUCACCCAGAGAAAACUCACCUGCAGGCCAAGAGGAAGGCAUCAGAGCGUUAA
Molecule: RNA transcript, 507 nt
Organism: Lipotes vexillifer (Yangtze River dolphin)
Lineage: Eukaryota; Metazoa; Chordata; Mammalia; Artiodactyla; Lipotidae
Gene name: 40S ribosomal protein S20 pseudogene
Exons: 1
Source: RefSeq, a predicted model, not a curated record